RNAcentral lists this ribosomal RNA (445 nucleotides) under uncultured bacterium. RNAcentral describes it as "SSU rRNA". It matches the Rfam family "Bacterial small subunit ribosomal RNA", at positions 26 to 518 of the family's 1533-position model. The record is from RNAcentral.
AGAGCGAACGCUGGCGGCAGGCCUAACACAUGCAAGUCGAGCGCCGUAGCAAUACGGAGCGGCAGACGGGAGAGUAACACGUGGGAACGUACCCUUUGGUUCGGAACAACCCAGGGAAACUUGGGCUAAUACCGAAUAAGCCCUUACGGGGAAAGAUUUAUCGCCGAAGGAUCGGCCCGCGUCUGAUUAGCUAGUUGGUGGGGUAACGGCCCACCAAGGCGACGAUCAGUAGCUGGUCUGAGAGGAUGAUCAGCCUCAUUGGGACUGAGACACGGCCCAAACUCCUACGGGAGGCAGCAGUGGGGAAUAUUGGACAAUGGGCGCAAGCCUGAUCCAGCCAUGCCGCGUGGGUGAUGAAGGCCCUAGGGUUGUAAAGCCCUUUCGGCGGGGAAGAUAAUGACGGUACCCGCAGAAGAAGCCCCGGCUAACUUCGUGCCAGCAGCGC